Molecule: ribosomal RNA, 333 nt
Filed under: Triticum aestivum (bread wheat)
Lineage: Eukaryota; Viridiplantae; Streptophyta; Magnoliopsida; Poales; Poaceae
Description: partial small subunit ribosomal RNA
Source: RNAcentral
AUGAUCACACGGCCCUCCCUCGACCAUGACCUGCCGCUGCUACAAGGAAGGAUGGGAAGAAGAAUCCACAUCGAUAGCACCACUACUUCUACAGUGCUGGUGGUACUAGUACUACUAGUGCUGGGAGGGGAGAGGGAGCAAUCAAGCAGUCGCGCCGCACGUGACCAUCCAUCCCUCCAAGAAAGAGAGAGAAACAGAGAGCGAGCGAGCGAGCGGAGAAGGCAACGCACGCCAAUUAACACGCCGCCCGGCCCAAGGAAACGAACAAGGAGCGAAGCCACCAAACCAAACACCAAACGCUACUCCUGCUUCUCCCUCUUCUCCCCCUGUUAG